GCAAACAGUCAAAAUGUACAAGAUACUAUGGAAUAACCACAUAGAAGAAGAAGCAACCUGGGAAACAGAAGAGUAUUUGAACAAGCAUUUCCGCGGUUUUCUUUCCAGCUAAGGAGGUAAGGACUACACACCCCCACUGGUUACCCUUACACCCGAAUCUCGGGACGAGAUUCUUUUUAAGGGGGGUAGGCUGUAAUGACCCUGGUUAAAUCAGCCGAGUUAAUCUCAAUCCGAGUCCCUGAUCCCUCUAUCUCAGCUCCCCUGAGCUUAAGCGUUCAACCUCCAAUUCCCGGUCCUGACCCC
This 303-nucleotide long non-coding RNA is filed under the name Setaria viridis. Its description in RNAcentral is "long non-coding RNA (SVIR_LNC000438)". Lineage: Eukaryota; Viridiplantae; Streptophyta; Magnoliopsida; Poales; Poaceae. The record is from RNAcentral.